Transfer RNA from Phytophthora infestans T30-4, 72 nucleotides. It matches the Rfam family "tRNA". Rfam says of the family: Transfer RNA (tRNA) molecules are approximately 80 nucleotides in length. Their secondary structure includes four short double-helical elements and three loops (D, anti-codon, and T loops). The record is from Rfam. NCBI's taxonomy places the organism in Eukaryota, Oomycota, Peronosporomycetes, Peronosporales, Peronosporaceae.
CCGCUUUUAGCUCAGUGGUCGAGCGUUGGCUUUGGAAGCCACAGGUCGGUGGUUCGAACCCGCCAGGGCACA